This is a non-coding RNA of Pelobates cultripes (western spadefoot toad), 550 nucleotides long. Lineage: Eukaryota; Metazoa; Chordata; Amphibia; Anura; Pelobatidae. The record is from the annotation of a GenBank genome assembly.
GGUUUGCAUACAUGGAGGGAUUUUGUCCUCCUUGUAGAUCCUCUCCAAGUCAUUAAGGUUUCGAGGAUGACGUUUGGCAACUCGUACCUUCAACUCACUUCACAGAUUUUCUAUGGGAUUAAGGUGUGGAGACUGGUUAGGCCACUCCAGGACCAUAAUGUGCUUCUUCUUGAGCCACUCCUCUGUUGCCUUGGCUGUGUGUUUUGGGUCAUUGUCAUGCUGCAAUACCCAUCCACGACCCAUUUCAAUGCCCUGGCUGAGGGAAGGAGGUUCUCCCCCAAGAUUUGACGGUAGAUGGCACCAUCCAUCGUCCCUUUGAUGCGGUGCAGUUGUCCUGUCUGCUUAGCAGAAAACCACCCCCAAAGCAUAAUGUUUCCACCUCCAUGUUUGACGGUGGGGAUGGUGUUCUUGGGGUCAUAGGCAGCAUUCCUCCAAACACGGUGAGUUGAGUUGAUGCCAAAGAGCUUGAUUUUGGUCUCAUCUGACCACAACACUUUCACCCAGUUCUCCUCUAAAUCAUUCAGAUGUUCAUAGGCAAACUUCCGACGGG